CGGGUGAGGACCCUACGUGGGGCAGAAGGGCUUUGGCUGGAUGUGCGAGGGAACGUGUGGGCUGGUGGGACCAUCUUUUUUGUGAAUUCAGGGGCUCCUGGAGCAGGGCUUUGUCCCUGGGUGGGGAAGGUAGCUUCAGAGAGGCCAUCUCUUCGCCCAGGGUCCUUCUGCUUCUACGCUCUCAACUCUCACUCUUGCCUUUUAGCAUCUUUCUUUUUUUCACUUAGAAGUAACUUUGUUAUUUUUCAUUACUGCAAAGCAGCACAUGCUUAUAACAAAAACAUCGGAUGUGUAGACAAAAAACAGAAAAAAUUAGCCCCGCAUCCUCUUUGUGCCAAAGACAGCCAUGGAGACACUGUUGAAGAAUCUUCCAGGUCCCUUUCGAGGCGUUUACUAUCAUACACAUGAAUGUAUAUCAUAUAUCCAUAUGUCGUAUAUACGUCAUUGUGAUGUAACGAUACCACACAUAUUCUUUGAUAAUAUGUGGUGUGUAACGUCUUAUCACAAACAGCCUUUCUAUAACAGCAAACUUUUUUGGGGGGUCUUUUUUUGUCUUUUGGGGGCCGCAACUGUGGCAUACAGAUGUUCCCAGGCUAGGGGUCCAAUCGGAGCUGUAGCCGUCGGCCUACGCCACAGCCACAGCAACAUGGGAUCCGAGCUGCGUCUGCAACCUACACCGCAGCUCAUGGCAACACCGGAUCUUUAACCCACUGAGUGAGGCCAGGGAUGGAACAUGCAUCCUCAUGGAUGCUAGUUGGGUUCGCUAACUGCUGAGCUGCGACGGGAACGCCAGCGAACUUUUUUUUUUUUUAAUGAUGAAGUGAUGCCUCUAAUUAUAGAAGAAAAAACUGAGGCAAAAACGUAAGGUCAUUUACAAAAGCUGAGGCUGCUAAGUCAUUUGGUGUUGGAACUGAAGCUAAGCAGAUCCAGCUCCUGGAAUGCACACGCACCCCGUUUUGGGGGGGCUGUGAGUUCUAUGCGUCUGCAGCGACUGCAAUGUAAGAAUCCCCCGCUACAGAGCUGAUACCGCUAUUUAGUUCCUUAAUCUCAUAGGGUGCCAUGCUUAGGUUGUUUCCAGCUUUUCCCUACCGUAAGCAGCGUCAGGGGACACGCUGCUUCUGGUUUAACCUACUCAGUUGUUUCCUUGCUGUACCAUAUGCGCAUAUAAAAUAUGAAUUUCCCGUAGAAGUCUUGGUAAUGCCAUCACUAAAUAUGCUAGGUUUGGUCGGAACUGUCCUGUAGAUAUUAGUUCAGGCCUGCAGUACAGACGGAGAAGAGAGAAAGCAGCGGAAUGGAGUGUGCGAGUGUGUGUGUUUGUGUGUGUGUCUAGGUGUUGUUGCUGAAGGAGAAAGGGAGGGGACAAGAAGCAAAGAGGAAGAGCAGUUAUUCCUUAUUUAUACAUUGGUUCAACCAGUUUUUAUUGAGCAUCUAUUACAUGCCAGAUACUGUUGAGACCCAGGAGAAUCAGGAGUGAGCCAGAGGACAAAAUUCCCUGUCCUCAUGCAUAUUCAUUAAAAAUGGAAGGUGGCAGAUACCAAGCAUAAAAACUACAUAAUCACACAGUCGGUUAGAAUGUGAUGAGUGCUGCGGAAAGAAUUAAGUCGGGUUCAGAAGAUGGGAGACUCAGGAAACAAUUUUACAGCGAGCCGUCAGGGCGGGUUUGGAAGGGACGCGUGAGUAUAGACUGGAAGGAGGCAAGAGAGCGAGCCCGUGGAUAUCCAGGGAAAGAGCCCCUGUCGGUGGUGCAAAGGCCCUGAGGCACAAGUGUGAGUCCUGGAGGACCAGCGGCAGCCACCCCCAGGCUGCCCCUGGUGCCCUCUGCACUGAUGCUGGCCCCCUGGGAUCCCGAAGAACCCAGGCUUAGGCGCUGGGUUCUGUCUAUGGUGCCGAGAUCGUUCUAUACUAGAUGUUACUUUUUCCUUUCUCUAAAUUUUACCCCUAAUGAUUUUUUUUACCCCCGCCCCCUUUUGGUGGUGCCUGCAGCAUGCAGACAUUCCCUGGGCCAGGGAUCGAAUCUGUACCACAGCAGCGACCCAAGCCGCUGCAGUGACAGUGCUGGACCCUUAACCUGCUGCACCACAAGGGAACUCUCGCCUAAUGGUUAAUUUUGCUCCUUCCGAGAUAAUUCUGUGGCCUGGAAGUUGAUUUAAGGAAAGAAGGGGAGCGGCAUCACUGCAAUAGAAAAAGCAAGAUCGAGACUUGGGGGUCCUUGGGUUCCAAACAGAUCCUGCCGCAUAUUUCGAGCCUUUUGGGCACAGGGCUCUACCUCUCUGGUCUUCCGUGUCCUCAUUUAGAAAUUGCAAAGGGUGUCCUUUGGUGGCUUUGGGGCUGUUCUCGGACUCUGAAGCCAGUAAGAUGGGAAGUGGCGUGGAGUGAUGUCUAGUGAGACGGCAGGGGAGGCCCUGGGACUUCUGCCAGCAGAGGACUCUGGGCACAGGCUAAUAUGUGCCGCCGCCGGUUUUCACGCCUAGACUCGAAGAGCUCGGCUUCACCCUUAAAAUGGAACAUUCCAUCCGAGUCCGUCCAGAAUCCCCGGUGAUAACAGAGGCCACACCGCUGAUGGCGUUCGUCUCCUCGGUUCCUCUGCGCCCUCGAGGCGUCGGCUUCCCCCCUGCGCUGCGCUGCGCGGGUCCUUCAGUCUGCAGGGAGCGUGACCCUGGUGGGGUCUGGGGCUCCUCUUUUUUUCUCUUUGGCCCCAGAGAGUCCCUGCCCGUCUCACUCUCAUCAUCUGGGAUGCCUGGCGUCUUCCCUCCGCUCUGGCGAUGAGGACGUGGGGAGGGGACGGAGUGUGUCAUGGGCAUCCCAUUGUCCCGUGUGGCACAAAAUCACUAUGAAUUUCACAGUGGGACCGUGUGUGAGAGGCUGUGGGGGCAGAGCUAGAGCUGGCAGCCGUUUCCUUUGGGGGGAAGAAGGUUCAACCCGAAUCGAAGCCUUUCCUCUUUCACUUUACGAGGCUGAAUCGCCUUUGCUUUUCGUUACUCUCUUGCUUAUGCCUCAGCGCUUCCUCUGUUUGGUUGGUUGGUUGGUUGCCUUAAAUGACACAUCUUGUUUAGCAUCCUUGGCUGCGUUUAGGGCAGCAGGGCAACAGAGGAGUGGCUUCCAAAACUGGGGUUCUCUUCCUUUCCUGGAGCUUUUUAUUUUAAGUGGGAGCACGGCGCUCGCUCAGCCUUGGGGAGACAUGGACCCAUUCACGUGCCUUCCAUGAACGAUGGGGUCUGAGAUGUUUGGUUUGUUGAACUUCUGAUUUGUCGUCUCUUCCCCAUGGCUUUUAAGAGCAGAGACAAAAAUCCCCCCCUUACUUCUGACCGUUCCUGUGAUGCCCUUUGUCUCCGUCGACUGUUGAGAGAGGAAUUUUAUUUGGAAUAUUCAUAACAAGUCUAUCACUAAUUAUCACUUUAACAGUGUGUUAUGGAGCGUAUCCAUGCAGUCAUCUGGAAAGGCACAUAUGCCAUGAAAUUUGGGAUUUGCUGGGUACCGCGUGUGCCCACUCUGAGUGUUUCAUCAGCUCUUUGCUCCGGGAGGAAGCAGAGGUGCUUUGCAAGGGAGGUUGGAGGAUGGACCUGGCAGCUAAAUGCCUGCGCCUCCCUUUCUGUCCUCAUAGCAACAAUUGCCAGGGUGAGUUGCUUUCUAGUGUAUAAGAAAAGCCUCUUAACUUUCUCACACCGAAGCCUCCCUCUGGAAAGCGACGCAGAUCGGAGCAGAGGCCACCCCGGGUCAACACCCCAAGGGCAGAUCGCAGGCGAAGAGGAGCCUGCGGGCUUCAGUGUCUUCCUCGCACUCUGGCAAGAGGGCGGGGGCUCAGAUCUCGUCCGGUGAGCAGCCCUCGGAAGCAAAGGCAAAGGAGCGUCGCCCUCUCGGGAGAGGUCAAGAAUGCACACGCCACUUUUUCUCCCUCCUUCUGCUCUCUCUUCUCCCGGGAAGGAGAAUGAACUCAUGCUGGGUUCCUUCUUGAGGGUUCUCGGUGGGCCUGAGCUUUGGGAAUGGAGGAUUACGGUAUCGCAGAGGCACGGGAGCUCUUUCCACCAAGACCUCCUGAUGGAAGUGGGUGAAUCAAGCCCCAGGGGCUGCCUGCAAACGAGGCCCAGAGUAAUGGAGCGUAAUGGAGCCAAGCUC
This 4113-nucleotide long non-coding RNA is filed under the name Sus scrofa (pig). RNAcentral's name for it is "lncRNA (ENSSSCG00035071381.1)". The record is from RNAcentral. Lineage: Eukaryota; Metazoa; Chordata; Mammalia; Artiodactyla; Suidae.